This 495-nucleotide ribosomal RNA is filed under the name uncultured bacterium. RNAcentral describes it as "partial 16S ribosomal RNA". It matches the Rfam family "Bacterial small subunit ribosomal RNA", at positions 28 to 507 of the family's 1533-position model. The record is from RNAcentral.
GAUGAACGCUGGCGGCGUGCCUAAUACAUGCAAGUAGAACGCUGAAGGAGGAGCUUGCUCUUCUGGAUGAGUUGCGAACGGGUGAGUAACACGUAGGUAACCUGCCUGGUAGCGGGGGAUAACUAUUGGAAACGAUAGCUAAUACCGCAUGACAACAGUUAUUGCAUGAUAACUGUUUAAAAGGGGCAACUGCUCCACUACCAGAUGGACCUGCGUCGUAUUAGCUAGUUGGUGAGGUAACGGCUCACCAAGGCGACGAUACAUAGCCGACAGGAGAGGGGGGUCAGCCACACUGGGACGGAGACACGGCACAGAGGCCUACGGGAGGCAGCAGUAGGGAAACGUCGGCAAUGGACGGGAGUCUGAGCGAGAAAGGCCGCGUGAGUGAAGAAGGUUGUCGGAUGGGAAAGGUCGGUUGUAAGAGAAGAAAGAGUGUGAGAGUGGAAAGUUCACAGUGUGACGGUAACUGACCAGAAAGGAACGGCUAACUACGUG